This 809-nucleotide ribosomal RNA is filed under the name uncultured bacterium. Its description in RNAcentral is "bacterial SSU rRNA". It matches the Rfam family "Bacterial small subunit ribosomal RNA", at positions 1 to 777 of the family's 1533-position model. The record is from RNAcentral.
UCGGCUUAGAGUUUGAUCCUGGCUCAGGAUGAACGCUGGCGGCGUGCCUAAUACAUGCAAGUCGAACGAAACUUCUUUAUCACCGAGUGCUUGCACUCACCGAUAAAGAGUUGAGUGGCGAACGGGUGAGUAACACGUGGGCAACCUGCCCAAAAGAGGGGGAUAACACUUGGAAACAGGUGCUAAUACCGCAUAACCAUAGUUACCGCAUGGUAACUAUGUAAAAGGUGGCUAUGCUACCGCUUUUGGAUGGGCCCGCGGCGCAUUAGCUAGUUGGUGAGGUAAAGGCUUACCAAGGCGAUGAUGCGUAGCCGAACUGAGAGGUUGAUCGGCCACAUUGGGACUGAGACACGGCCCAAACUCCUACGGGAGGCAGCAGUAGGGAAUCUUCCACAAUGGGCGAAAGCCUGAUGGAGCAACGCCGCGUGGGUGAAGAAGGUCUUCGGAUCGUAAAACCCUGUUGUUAGAGAAGAAAGUGCGUGAGAGUAACUGUUCACGUUUCGACGGUAUCUAACCAGAAAGCCACGGCUAACUACGUGCCAGCAGCCGCGGUAAUACGUAGGUGGCAAGCGUUAUCCGGAUUUAUUGGGCGUAAAGGGAACGCAGGCGGUCUUUUAAGUCUGAUGUGAAAGCCUUCGGCUUAACCGGAGUAGUGCAUUGGAAACUGGGAGACUUGAGUGCAGAAGAGGAGAGUGGAACUCCAUGUGUAGCGGUGAAAUGCGUAGAUAUAUGGAAGAACACCAGUGGCGAAAGCGGCUCUCUGGUCUGUAACUGACGCUGAGGUUCGAAAGCGUGGGGAGCAAACAGGA